Molossus molossus (Pallas's mastiff bat) is the source of this 139-nucleotide small nucleolar RNA. RefSeq annotates it as small nucleolar RNA SNORA67. NCBI's taxonomy places the organism in Eukaryota, Metazoa, Chordata, Mammalia, Chiroptera, Molossidae. The record is from RefSeq and is a predicted model, not a curated record. The transcript has a single exon.
AACCGAGGUGACUCCCUCUCCACGGGGCCUGAUGGGGCCUCUUCAGGAACGUAGCAACUUGGAAUAAAAUCUGGCCUCUGGGUUUUGGGUGCGAAGGUGAUGCGUGAGGUCCUUGGCCUGCCUUUGGCCGCUCACUUAU